This 460-nucleotide ribosomal RNA is filed under the name uncultured bacterium. Its description in RNAcentral is "partial 16S ribosomal RNA". It matches the Rfam family "Bacterial small subunit ribosomal RNA", at positions 338 to 795 of the family's 1533-position model. The record is from RNAcentral.
CCUACGGGAGGCCGCAGUGAGGAAUAUUGGUCAAUGGACGAGAGUCUGAACCAGCCAAGUAGCGUGAAGGAUGACUGCCCUAUGGGUUGUAAACUUCUUUUAUAAAGGAAUAAAACGAGGCACGUGUGCCUUUUUGCAUGUACUUUAUGAAUAAGGAUCGGCUAACUCCGUGCCAGCAGCCGCGGUAAUACGGAGGAUCCGAGCGUUAUCCGGAUUUAUUUGGUUUAAAGGGAGCGUAGAUGGGUUGUUAAGUCAGUUGUGAAAGUUUGCGGCUCAACCGUAAAAUUGCAAUUGAUACUGGCAGUCUUGAGUACAGUUGAGGUAGGCGGAAUUCGUGGUGUAGCGGUGAAAUGCUUAGAUAUCACGAAGAACCCCGAUUGCGAAGGCAGCUUACUAAACUGUGACUGACAUUGAUGCUCGAAAGUGUGGGUAUCAAACAGGAUUAGAUACCCCUGUAGUC